UACGAAGGGGGCUAGCGUUGCUCGGAAUCACUGGGCGUAAAGCGCACGUAGGCGGCUUCUUAAGUCAGGGGUGAAAUCCUGGAGCUCAACUCCAGAACUGCCUUUGAUACUGAGAGCUUGAGUCCGGGAGAGGUGAGUGGAACUGCGAGUGUAGAGGUGAAAUUCGUAGAUAUUCGCAAGAACACCAGUGGCGAAGGCGGCUCACUGGCCCGGUACUGACGCUGAGACGCGAAAGCGUGGGGAGCGAACAGG
RNAcentral lists this ribosomal RNA (252 nucleotides) under uncultured bacterium. RNAcentral describes it as "partial 16S ribosomal RNA". It matches the Rfam family "Bacterial small subunit ribosomal RNA", at positions 524 to 776 of the family's 1533-position model. The record is from RNAcentral.